Molecule: ribosomal RNA, 512 nt
Filed under: uncultured Acidobacteriota bacterium
Lineage: Bacteria; Pseudomonadati; Acidobacteriota
Description: bacterial SSU rRNA
Rfam family: Bacterial small subunit ribosomal RNA
Source: RNAcentral
GACGCAACGCGAAGAACCUUACCUGGGCUAGAAUGCCUCUGACAGCCCCAGAGAUGGGGUCUCCAGGGUAAAACCUGGCAGAGUGCAAGGUGCUGCAUGGCUGUCGUCAGCUCGUGUCGUGAGAUGUUGGGUUAAGUCCCGCAACGAGCGCAACCCUUAUCAAUAGUUGCCAGCGGUUCGGCCGGGCACUCUAUUGAGACUGCCGUUGACAAAACGGAGGAAGGUGGGGAUGACGUCAAGUCCUCAUGGCCUUUAUGUCCAGGGCUACACACGUGCUACAAUGGCCGGUACAAAGCGCUGCAAACCUGCAAGGGGGAGCCAAUCGCAAAAACCCGGUCUCAGUUCGGAUUGGAGUCUGCAACAAGACUCCAUGAAGUUGGAAUCGCUAGUAAUCGCAGAUCAGCACGCUGCGGUGAAUACGUUCCCGGGUCUUGUCCACACCGCCCGUCACAUCACGAAAGUGGGUUGUACUAGAAGUCGUCGCGCCAACCCGUAAGGGAGGCAGGCGCCCU